CGAUUAGGUAGUUGCUGGGGUAACGUCCCAACAAGCCGAUAAUCGGUACGGGUUGUGAGAGCAAGAGCCCGGAGAUGGAUUCUGAGACACGAAUCCAGGUCCUACGGGGCGCAGCAGGCGCGAAAACUUUACACUGCGCGAAAGCGCGAUAAGGGGACCUCGAGUGCGUGCGCAAUGCGUACGCUUUUCAGAUGCCUAAAAAGCAUCUGGAAUAAGGGCCGGGCAAGACCGGUGCCAGCCGCCGCGGUAACACCGGCGGCUCAAGUGGUGGCCGCUAUUAUUGGGCUUAAAGGGUCCGUAGCCGGACCAGUUAGUCCCUUGGGAAAUCUUACGGCUUAACCGUAAGGCUGCCAAUGGAUACUGCUGGUCUUGGGACCGGGAGAGGCAAGAGGUACCUCAGGGGUAGGAGUGAAAUCCUGUAAUCCUUGAGGGACCGCCAGUGGCGAAGGCGUCUUGCUAGAACGGGUCCGACGGUGAGGGACGAAAGCUAGGGGCACGAACCGGAUUAGAUACCCGGGUAGUCAUAGCCGUAAACGAUGCGAGCUAGGUGUCACGUGGAUUGCGAAUCCAUGUGGUGCCGAAGGGAAACCGUGAAGCUCGCCGCCUGGGAAGUACGGCCGCAAGGCUGAAACUUAAAGGAAUUGGCGGGGGAGCAC
This 656-nucleotide ribosomal RNA is filed under the name uncultured euryarchaeote. RNAcentral's name for it is "bacterial SSU rRNA". It matches the Rfam family "Archaeal small subunit ribosomal RNA", at positions 222 to 879 of the family's 1478-position model. Lineage: Archaea; Methanobacteriati; Methanobacteriota. The record is from RNAcentral.